This 465-nucleotide ribosomal RNA is filed under the name uncultured bacterium. RNAcentral's name for it is "partial 16S ribosomal RNA". It matches the Rfam family "Bacterial small subunit ribosomal RNA", at positions 30 to 506 of the family's 1533-position model. The record is from RNAcentral.
CGAACGCUGGCGGCGUGCUUAACACAUGCAAAUCGAACGGAAAGGCCCUGCUUUUGUGGGGUGCUCGAGUGGCGAACGGGUGAGUAACACGUGAGUAACCUGCCCUUGACUUUGGGAUAACUUCAGGAAACUGGGGCUAAUACCGGAUAGGAGCUCCUGCUGCAUGGUGGGGGUUGGAAAGUUUCGGCGGUUGGGGAUGGACUCGCGGCUUAUCAGCUUGUUGGUGGGGUAGUGGCUUACCAAGGCUUUGACGGGUAGCCGGCCUGAGAGGGUGACCGGCCACAUUGGGACUGAGAUACGGCCCAGACUCCUACGGGAGGCAGCAGUGGGGAAUAUUGCACAAUGGGCGGAAGCCUGAUGCAGCAACGCCGCGUGCGGGAUGACGGCCUUCGGGUUGUAAACCGCUUUCGCCUGUGACGAAGCGUGAGUGACGGUAAUGGGUAAAGAAGCACCGGCUAACUACGU